UAAUACAGAGACCUCAAGCGUUAUCCGGAAUCAUUGGGCGUAAAGCGUGCCGAUAGGUGGUUUUAUUAGUCUUGGGUAAAAGCCAGAAGCUUAACUUCUGAGUUUGCUUAAGAUACUGUAAGACUAGAGGGGCAAAGAGGUGCUUGGAACGAAUGGUGUAGUAGUGAAAUGCGUUGAUAUCAUUCGGAACACCGAAAGCGAAGGCAGAGCACUGGGUGCCACCUGACACUGCUAGGACGAAAGCGUGGGGAGCGAAUGGGAUUAGAUACCCCAGUAGUCCACGCUGUAAACGAUGAAUACUAGGCAUGCGCGAGUAUCGACCCUCGUGCGAGCCGUAGCUAACGCGUUAAGUAUUCCGCCUGGGGAGUACGGUCGCAAGACUA
This 383-nucleotide ribosomal RNA is filed under the name uncultured bacterium. Its description in RNAcentral is "bacterial SSU rRNA". It matches the Rfam family "Bacterial small subunit ribosomal RNA", at positions 521 to 896 of the family's 1533-position model. The record is from RNAcentral.